Molecule: ribosomal RNA, 440 nt
Filed under: uncultured bacterium
Lineage: Bacteria
Description: partial 16S ribosomal RNA
Rfam family: Bacterial small subunit ribosomal RNA
Source: RNAcentral
CUACGGGAGGCUCCAGUCGAGAAUCUUCCACAAUGCGCGAAAGCGUGAUGGAGCGACGCCGCGUGCGGGAUGAAGGCCUUCGGGUCGUAAACCGCUUUUAACAGGGAUAAAUUUUGAUAGUACCUGUUGAAUAAGGGGUUGCUAACUCUGUGCCAGCAGCAGCGGUAAUACAGAGACCUCAAGCGUUGUCCGGAUUUAUUGGGCGUAAAGCGUCUGUAGGUGGUUUGUUACAUCUUUUGUUAAAUCUUGAAGCUCAACUUCAAGUCAGCUAAAGAUAUGGGUAAACUAGAGCAUACGAGGGGCCAAUGGAACUCAGGGUGUAGCAGUGAAAUGCGUUGAUAUCCUGGGGAACACCAAAAGCGAAGGCAUUUGGCUGGCGUAUUGCUGACACUGAGAGACGAAAGUGUGGGUAGCGAAUGGGAUUAGAUACCCGGGUAGUC